This 478-nucleotide ribosomal RNA is filed under the name uncultured bacterium. Its description in RNAcentral is "partial 16S ribosomal RNA". It matches the Rfam family "Bacterial small subunit ribosomal RNA", at positions 28 to 523 of the family's 1533-position model. The record is from RNAcentral.
GACGAACGCUGGCGGCGUGCUUAACACAUGCAAGUCGAACGGUAAGGCCCUUCGGGGUACACGAGUGGCGAACGGGUGAGUAACACGUGGGUGAUCUGCCCUGCACUUCGGGAUAAGCCUGGGAAACUGGGUCUAAUACCGGAUAGGACCACUGCCUGCAUGGGUGGUGGUGGAAAGCUUUUGCGGUGUGGGAUGGGCCCGCGGCCUAUCAGCUUGGUGGUGGGGUGAUGGACUACCAAGGCGACGACGGGUAGCCGGCCUGAGAGGGUGACCGGCCACACUGGGACUGAGAUACGGCCCAGACUGCUACGGGAGGCAGCAGUGGGGAAUAUUGCACAAUGGGCGCAAGCCUGAUGCAGCGACGCCGCGUGGGGGAUGACGGCCUUCGGGUUGUAAACCUCUUUCAGCACCGACGAAGCGCAAGUGACGGUAGGUGCAGAAGAAGGACCGGCCAACUACGUGCCAGCAGCCGCGGUAA